Cinara cedri is the source of this 1270-nucleotide non-coding RNA. Lineage: Eukaryota; Metazoa; Arthropoda; Insecta; Hemiptera; Aphididae. The record is from the annotation of a GenBank genome assembly.
UAAUACACAUUUCCAUCACAAUGAACUAGAUUAUUUAUUAAUGAAAGUUCAAGGCAGAGGAAUGUUUAUUAUAGGCAUACAAUUUUACUGUUCAAAUUUAAACAAAUAAUGAAAUUUUACAAUAGACACAUUUUUGGAAAACACACAAAUUUCUAUCACAAAGAUUUAAUAUAAAUUCAAACAAAAUCUGUGUCCAUGGUAAAGGUAUGUCUGAUCAUAAUACACAUUUCCAUCACAAUGAACUAGAUUAUUUAUUAAUGAAAGUCCAAGGCAGAGGAAUGUUUAUUAUAAUAGGCAUACCAUUUUACCGUUCAAAUUUUAUCAAAUAAUGUAUUUUUUAAUUUUUUAUAUGUAUCAAAUUGUAUGCAAUUUUCCAAUAGACACAUUUUUGGAAAACACAUAAAUUCCUAUCACAAAGAUUAAGAUAUUUUAGUUUUAAAAGUUAAAAUCUAAAAUAUGACUAUUUAUGGCAAACUCAUAUUUUAUAUAAAUUCAAACAAAACCUGUGUCUAAAUGUAUUUUAUUUUAAUCAAAUCUAGUGAAUGUAUCAAAUUUUAUCCAAUUUUACAAUAGACACAUUUUUGGAAAACACACAAAUUCCUAUCACAAAGAUUAAGAUAUUUUAGUUUUAAAAGUGGAAAUCUAAAAUAUGACUAUUUAUGGCAAACUCAUAUUUUAUAUAAAUUCAAACAAAACCUGUGUCUAAAUGUAUUUUAUUUUAAUCAAAUCUAGUGAAUUUAUAUAUUAGAACAUAUGUCUGAUCAAAAUACACGUUUCUAUCACAAAAUGUUAGAUUUUUCAUUACUAAAAUUUGAAGUCAGUGAUGAUUAGUGAGCCAAAACGCCAUGCUAUUCAAAUUUAAACAAAUUAUGAACUAUUAAGUAUUCUAAUUGGUAUCAGAUAUUGUGAAAUUAUAAAUAAGACAUAUUUAUGAUUAAAAUACACAUUACUAUCACAAAGAACUAGUUAAUGUAAUAAAAGUGAAAAUCUAAAAGAUAUUUAAAAAUUAAUAUUCUGUAUCAAUUCAAACAAAAUCUGUGUAUAUGUGUAUUUAAUAUUUAUCCAACAUUGUGAAAUAAUACAUCUAAACGUAAGUGAUCACAAUAAACAUACGUAUCGCAAAAAACUAGAUCAUUUAUUAAUAAGCGUCCAAGUCAAGAUUUUUAAUAUCGCAAAACACUAUGCUAUUCAAAAUUUAAUCAAAUUAUGUAUUAUUAAGUUUUUUACUUUGUAUUAAAUAAUGUGAAAUUAUAUAUAAAGACAAAUUUAU